GUCAUAUUGUCGAAAUAUGUAUUUGACUAUUCACAUGAUUUACUGCACUUUAAUUACAGUUUUUGCGUUUUUGCCUUUUAUUUUGAAAACUAUAAUUGAUAAAGAGAUCAGCAGGAAAAGAUUAACAAUUGUUUGUCAACUGUAUUAAUAAAAUUGAGAAUGGAAAUGGGGAAUGUGUCACUGAGACAACAACCCGACAAUAGAAAAAAACAACAGCAGAAGAUCACCAACAGGUCUUUAAUGUAGCGAGAAAUUCCCGCACCCGGAGGCCAAUUAAUGGCAAUGUUUAUAAUUCGACCUACGGAUUUUUUUGCAUCCCUAUAUCACCCUUUUUUAAUUGAUCAAAAUCAUGGAAAAUCAUGGAAAAUUGUAAAUGAAAAAAAAAUGUCCCAUCGUGUCAUACAUUUGCCUCAUAAUUCUGGUAUCAGCAAUAGCACCAUUUCCUGCAAUAUGACACCAAAAUCUCGAUUUAAAGUGGCUUUUGUCCAAACAAAUUCACGUCGGUGACAUAUAAAAGUUGUAAUUAUUCAAACUUCUCUUUAACUGGUAUAGAAUAAUGCUAUAUCAAUAAAUACAGUUCCCGAUCUUCAGACAAUAAGUCAUUCGUAUCUUAAAACUAAGAAUGUAUCGUUAUAGUAUAUUUUCUAAUUUAAACGGAAGCAGUUGAUAUAAACCGGAAGCAACUGAUAACAAAAGUCGUAUCACACGGCUAAGACAAUUCUUCAAAUUUAAUGAAUAAAUACAUAUACAAAUAAGUUUUAUCAUUGGUUACAAUAAUACCG
RNAcentral lists this long non-coding RNA (782 nucleotides) under Mytilus galloprovincialis (Mediterranean mussel). The record is from RNAcentral. Lineage: Eukaryota; Metazoa; Mollusca; Bivalvia; Mytilida; Mytilidae.